AUGCCCACCUCAGCAGCGUAUACACUAACACUGCAACAGUAAGAAAAGGUUGGCAUGGGCCCUGCACAAGAUGACACAAAAAUUUAUGAAGUGUUCUAUAUUUAA
Molecule: small nuclear RNA, 105 nt
Organism: Grammomys surdaster
Lineage: Eukaryota; Metazoa; Chordata; Mammalia; Rodentia; Muridae
Source: RefSeq, a predicted model, not a curated record